CCCGCACAAGCGGUGGAGCAUGUGGUUUAAUUCGAAGCAACGCGAAGAACCUUACCAGGUCUUGACAUCCUUUGACCACUCUGGAGACAGAGCUUUCCCUUCGGGGACAAAGUGACAGGUGGUGCAUGGUUGUCGUCAGCUCGUGUCGUGAGAUGUUGGGUUAAGUCCCGCAACGAGCGCAACCCUUGAUUUUAGUUGCCAGCAUUUAGUUGGGCACUCUAAAGUGACUGCCGGUGCAAGCCGGAGGAAGGUGGGGAUGACGUCAAAUCAUCAUGCCCCUUAUGACCUGGGCUACACACGUGCUACAAUGGAUAGUACAAAGGGUCGCGAAGCCGCGAGGUGGAGCUAAUCCCAUAAAACUAUUCUCAGUUCGGAUUGUAGGCUGCAACUCGCCUACAUGAAGCCGGAAUCGCUAGUAAUCGUGGAUCAGCAUGCCACGGUGAAUACGUUCCCGGGCCUUGUACACACCGCCCGUCACACCACGAGAGUUUGUAACACCCGAAGUCGGUAGGGUAACCUUUAUGGAGCCAGCCGCCGAAGGUGGGACAGAUAAUUGGGGUGAAGUCGUAACAAGGUAGCCGUAUCGGAAGGUGCGGCUGGAUCACCUCCUUUCUAAGGAA
RNAcentral lists this ribosomal RNA (620 nucleotides) under Listeria monocytogenes. Its description in RNAcentral is "bacterial SSU rRNA". It matches the Rfam family "Bacterial small subunit ribosomal RNA", at positions 920 to 1533 of the family's 1533-position model. The record is from RNAcentral. Lineage: Bacteria; Bacillati; Bacillota; Bacilli; Caryophanales; Listeriaceae.